Molecule: ribosomal RNA, 506 nt
Filed under: uncultured bacterium
Lineage: Bacteria
Description: partial 16S ribosomal RNA
Rfam family: Bacterial small subunit ribosomal RNA
Source: RNAcentral
GAUGAACGCUAGCUACAGGCUUAACACAUGCAAGUCGAGGGGUAACGAGAGGAAAGCUUGCUUUCCUUGUCGACGACCGGCGCACGGGUGAGUAACGCGUAUCCAACCUGCCCCCAACUAAGGAAUAACCUUGCGAAAGUAAGACUAAUACCUUAUAAUUUCCUCAGAUGUCAUCUGACGAGGAAUAAAGAUUUAUCGGUUGUGGAUGGGGAUGCGUCUGAUUAGCUUGUUGGUGGGGGAACGGCCCACCAAGGCAACGAUCAGUAGGGGUUCUGAGAGGAAGGUCCCCCACAUUGGAACUGAGACACGGUCCAAACUCCUACGGGAGGCAGCAGUGAGGAAUAUUGGUCAAUGGGCGGAAGCCUGAACCAGCCAAGUAGCGUGCAGGAUGACGGCCCUAUGGGUUGUAAACUGCUUUUAUACAGGAAUAAAGUUAGCCACGUGUGGUUAUUUGUAGGUACUGUAUGAAUAAGGACCGGCUAAUUCCGUGCCAGCCGCCGCAGUAA